This 1148-nucleotide long non-coding RNA is filed under the name Meleagris gallopavo (turkey). RNAcentral's name for it is "lncRNA (ENSMGAG00000021280.1)". The record is from RNAcentral. Lineage: Eukaryota; Metazoa; Chordata; Aves; Galliformes; Phasianidae.
UGAAUAGACCCAGGUCAAAGCCAAAUCCAGAACUGGACUGCAAGACUCUCCCCUCAUCUUUGACAGCACUGUGCCCAUUCUUGUCAACAACUGGCUUGGGAAUCAAAAGCAUUAAAGGCUUACAUAUUGCAGACUGCUGACUCCCAACAUUUUUAGUCUAUGCUCCACUUCAGUGAACUAAUAACUCUUUUAUUGUUGAUCAUAACAGAAGCAGAAUCACUUAGAAUCACAGAAUCAUGAGGAUUGGAAGGGACCUCUGGAGAUCAUCUAAUUCAACCCCCUGUUAAAGCCAUGCCCCAUAGAAUAAGUUGCACAGAAAAGCAUGAGCAAACAACCUGCUGUAAUAUGAGAACUUGGUAUAAAAAAACAAACCUGAUGUAGAAAUUGCUACCAAUUUUUAUUGCAUCCAAAUGAGAACAGGCAAAAAAUUGUCUAAGUUUUGAAAUGUGUAAACAGUUCGUGAAAGAUGAGUUCUUGUGGAGACAAUACACGUAAUUUUUAUUUUCCCAGAUGUAUCACUAUUACAAAAGAAAAUCACUGAACAAUGGAGAGUGAUGGAGACCCAGACUGGUGCCCAAAUACACACAGCCACACACUGUGAGGUCACCAGCCAAGUGGCUGUGAUGUCAGCAAGAGAUGACUGUGAUCUCAUUGACUCCUGUGAGCAAAUUUGGGCACUGGCAGAGACCAGUGUGGACUCGUGCCUGGACUCCAGUCAAGCACAGCUGCGAGACUUGGAUCACUCAACAAGGACUUGGUUUUGUUGUGCUGCGGGGCUGCCAGCAGCAGUUCUUGGUGCCCAUCCCACAGCAUUGCCUGUGUGUCCCUGGCCCUGCCUGGUUCAGGCAGCUGGGGCUCUGUGGGGUGUGCUUGCGGCAGGGGAGUUUGUGACACCUUUUGUCUGCUGCAGCACCCGUGAGGGUAGCAGCUUUCUGAACUCAGCUCUCCCUAGCCUACUACACAGCCCAGGGCCAUGGAGGUGCCAUCAGACUUGUCCUGCCCCAUCUGUGGGCACAGUCAAGAUGAUGUUGCCUACACGACCCCUUGCCUCCCCCAACUUUGCUAUGGGUGUGCGCUCUGGUGCGCGAGGAAAAAGCCAAGAUGUGCCACAUGUGGACACAAAAUCAGGACAAUCCGAUACUCGGUGA